AUUGAACGCUGGCGGCAGGCCUAACACAUGCAAGUCGAGCGGCAGCGGGAAAGUAGCUUGCUACUUUUGCCGGCGAGCGGCGGAUGGGUGAGUAAUGCCUGGGGAUCUGCCCAGUCGAGGGGGAUAACAGUUGGAAACGACUGCUAAUACCGCAUACGCCCUACGGGGGAAAGGAGGGGACAUUCGGGCCUUUCGCGAUUGGAUGAACCCAGGUGGGAUUAGCUAGUUGGUGGGGUAAUGGCUCACCAAGGCGACGAUCCCUAGCUGGUCUGAGAGGAUGAUCAGCCACACUGGAACUGAGACACGGUCCAGACUCCUACGGGAGGCAGCAGUGGGGAAUAUUGCACAAUGGGGGAAACCCUGAUGCAGCCAUGCCGCGUGUGUGAAGAAGGCCUUCGGGUUGUAAAGCACUUUCAGCGAGGAGGAAAGGUUGUUGGCUAAUACCCAGCAACUGUGACGUUACUCGCAGAAGAAGCACCGGCUAACUCCGUGCCAGCAGCCGCAGUAA
This 508-nucleotide ribosomal RNA is filed under the name uncultured bacterium. RNAcentral's name for it is "partial 16S ribosomal RNA". It matches the Rfam family "Bacterial small subunit ribosomal RNA", at positions 30 to 523 of the family's 1533-position model. The record is from RNAcentral.